This 328-nucleotide unclassified non-coding RNA is filed under the name Hevea brasiliensis (rubber tree). The record is from RNAcentral. Lineage: Eukaryota; Viridiplantae; Streptophyta; Magnoliopsida; Malpighiales; Euphorbiaceae.
GGCGGAGCAGGAGUAGGAGGAGGAGAAGGAGGAGGAGUAGGAGGAGGAGAAGGAGGAGGAGGAGGAGGGGAGGCGUGAGCGAGCCAAAAGUGAUCAAAGGCAAGCUUAGCGACGUCAUUUUGGGCGCGUUUAGAAGAUUUGGUCGGAGAUUGGGAAUGGAAGGAAAGGCCAUUAACGGUGACGGUAGCCUGAAAGCAGGGAUUGUGAUCGGGUCCUUCUUUUGUGGUGACAUAGUCAGGCAGGUCCCAUGCUCUCAGUUGGCACAGCUCCUGCAGCUUCGAUUUAUACAUUUUCGAGCUCCUUUCUUUCUGGGCUUCUUUGUUUGUUU